GACGAACGCUGGCGGCGUGCUUAACACAUGCAAGUCGAGCGGUAAGGCCCUUUCGGGGGUACACGAGCGGCGAACGGGUGAGUAACACGUGGGUGACUUGCCCUCAGCUCUGGGAUAAGCCUGGGAAACCGGGUCUAAUACUGGAUAUGACUCCAUGACGCAUGUUGUGGGGUGGAAAGCCUUGUGCGGCUGAGGAUGGGCCCGCGGCCUAUCAGCUUGUUGGUGGGGUGANGGCCUACCAAGGCGACGACGGGUAGCCGGCCUGAGAGGGCGACCGGCCACACUGGGACUGAGACACGGCCCAGACUCCUACGGGAGGCAGCAGUGGGGAUCUGCGCAAUGGGCGAAAGCCUGACGCAGCGACGCCGCGUGA
RNAcentral lists this ribosomal RNA (373 nucleotides) under uncultured bacterium. RNAcentral's name for it is "bacterial SSU rRNA". It matches the Rfam family "Bacterial small subunit ribosomal RNA", at positions 28 to 404 of the family's 1533-position model. The record is from RNAcentral.